GCCACGAAACUGAGAUCCACUUGGGGCAUCUGUUAAUAUGUACAGACCUUUCCUGUUAGGUGUUGUCAGGAUCUGUCAUCAGUAUCAAUUUUUUAGCCUCUCAUUAUUUUCUUAAGUAAAUAUCAAACACUCUGGACUGAGUUUCCUGAUGAGAGUAGUUACAGAAGACAUGAUAUGAGAUACAAAUAAGUGUAUUUUAUCAGUCAGUUUUUAGUAGAAGAAAUGUUGUCUUCAAACCCUACAAAAUAAGAUUUCAUUGUUACUUUAUUUGAAGUUAAAUUAGAUGAGAGUGUUCUGAAGACAGAUUAAAUUAAUCCACAGAUUUUUUUCAAAAGCUCAUAUCAAAAUUACUCAAAAUGUAAGAAUUUUGGGGGGGGUAAGUUUACUAAAAACUGAAAGGAUGACAGUAAAGAGUUUAAAGUCUCGUGGUUUAGUUCAUUGCAAGGCCUUGCUAGCAGACUUUUGAUUAAAAUUUUGUGAAUGUAAAAACAGAUUUAUGCAAGAAUCUCAUUAUAUGUGAGCUCCUGUUUUGAUUGCACAGCAAGAGUUAUUCUGCAAAACAGCCAUAUUUUAUUGUUUAGGGGGUUUGACCUUUUCA
This 598-nucleotide long non-coding RNA is filed under the name Bos taurus (domestic cattle). Its description in RNAcentral is "long non-coding RNA NONBTAT000363". The record is from RNAcentral. Lineage: Eukaryota; Metazoa; Chordata; Mammalia; Artiodactyla; Bovidae.